This 496-nucleotide ribosomal RNA is filed under the name uncultured bacterium. RNAcentral's name for it is "partial 16S ribosomal RNA". It matches the Rfam family "Bacterial small subunit ribosomal RNA", at positions 28 to 506 of the family's 1533-position model. The record is from RNAcentral.
GAUGAACGCUGGCGGCGUGCCUAAUACAUGCAAGUCGAGCGAACAGAUGAGGAGCUUGCUCCUCUGACGUUAGCGGCGGACGGGUGAGUAACACGUGGAUAACCUACCUAUAAGACUGGGAUAACUUCGGGAAACCGGAGCUAAUACCGGAUAAUAUAUUGAACCGCAUGGUUCAAUAGUGAAAGACGGUUUUGCUGUCACUUAUAGAUGGAUCCGCGCCGCAUUAGCUAGUUGGUAAGGUAAAGGCUUACCAAGGCAACGAUGCGUAGCCGACCUGAGAGGGUGAUCGGCCACACUGGAACUGAGACACGGUCCAGACUCCUACGGGAGGCAGCAGUAGGGAAUCUUCCGCAAUGGGCGAAAGCCUGACGGAGCAACGCCGCGUGAGUGAUGAAGGUCUUCGGAUCGUAAAACGCUGUUAUGAGGGAAGAACAAAUGUGUAAGUAACUAUGCACGUCUUGACGGUACCUAAUCAGAAAGCCACGGCUAACUACGU